Molecule: long non-coding RNA, 2900 nt
Organism: Bactrocera dorsalis (oriental fruit fly)
Lineage: Eukaryota; Metazoa; Arthropoda; Insecta; Diptera; Tephritidae
Exons: 3
Source: RefSeq, a predicted model, not a curated record
AAUAUUGCUUUCAAACAGUAAUUUAAUUCAAAUGUAUUCAAUUGUACAUGCAUUCAUUGAUAUGCACAAAAAGAAUUCAUACGAAUACACAUGUUUGCAUAUACAUAAGUACAUAUGUAUGUAUGUAAAGGUAUAAAAAUAUAAGCAAAAGAGUGAACAUACUUACGUCUGUUAAAGCAAUAUAUAGUUUGAGCAUAAUUUUUAUUUCAUGCUGUUCAAGCGAAAAUGUUAAAAUUUCUCCUGCCGAGCUGGCAGUGGUGAAACUCUUCUAUCUCGACCGAGUUAGCCAAAAAUAUUUUUACGAUCUCCGCGCCGUGAACCUUCUCUAUGAUAAACGUUCUCUGAUAGCUAUUAAGUUUUACAUGCAUUUUAUUUUACGACAAUCUUGCAAAUAUGCGAGACCGUUUUCAGUGGCAACCAUAGCAUUUUGCGCAAUUCGCAAUCAGCUGGAAGCGUCACUUUGGUGUUUUAAAAGAAAUGGAAGCGAAAAAAAGAUUAAGGCUAAACGGCACAUUUCGUUGGUCUGAAAGCCAAACGAAAGACCAUUUGAUAAAUAUAGUGGACGCAAUAAAAGAGAAUCCGGACCAUUUUGAGAAACCAACAGCCCAAAGGUUUUACAACAAAAUUGGCGAAAAUGCUCCAAAUUUAAUGAAUAUUAAAUGGGACAUAAUGAGGACUAAACUGAGGCAUUUGAAAACGACAAAUAUUAAUGCGAAACUCUAAGACCUGCAAAAUAUUUUUACCUCUUUUUGUUCACACAACUGUACAAUUCCGAUAUGAAUUAAAUUUUCGCUCUUUAAUUUGUGUAUUGCUGCAACAAUUCUGCCAUGGACAUGGAUAAAAUGAUACGAAACUUGUAUUGGCUCUCAUUUUUAUCUCAAACGCGUUCCCUGAUUACGGGGCAUCUCGACAGAAUCGAAUUUGUAGCAUACUAACUGUCAAAUCUAUUGCUAUUGCCAUUGCCAAAUCUGUAUGUGGGCAUUUGCUAUCAUCAUAUUUGGUUGUCAAAAAAGUCUUGCGGUAUUUUUAUUGAAUCAAUUCGUGUGGCACCCAUACAUCGAGCUUCUUAGUGACUCCAAGCUUCUUCAAAUGGUUUAUAACGGUUUGAUGACUACUAUGCCGGUCUCUUUCGACCAAUUCAGCGAUUUUAUCGCAAUUUUCGACGACAGGCCUUCCGGAGCGUGGCGCAUCUUCGACCACCUCUACACCAGAACGAAAACGUUGAAACCAUCGUUGUGCAGUGGAAAUGGAAACUGUGUCGGGUCUAUAAACUCCACGGCUUGAGAUGCAUUUUUGCCUUUAUCGUAGUAGUACUGUAAAAUAUGCCGUAUUUUCUCUUUAUUUUGCUCCAUGUUUGCGACGCUAUAACUCACGAACGACUUAAAAGAAACGACAAUCAAUUAAGCAGUUAGCGCGUGAAAUGAGCCUUCCAAAAAGGUAUAGCAUGACCCGUUGCGACGAAUAAAACUAGAACUACGCGCUUUAAAAUACCGCAAGACUUUUUUGACAACCUAAUAUAAUCAUUUGCGCAAAGGCGUAAGAUAAAUUGAUCAGAAUCUCUUUUCUUGCUCUCUCGCUUGUCAGCUGGAAGAGGACCCUGAUCGGUUCUCUGAGCUGGCAACAAAACACAAUCAGGGUGCCGUCAACUAGCUGUUAGUGAAAAAGGCGUGAUACCAGAAGAGCACCGCUAAAACGAACUGCGAAAAUUAGUGCGUUGCUGAAGUUUUGUAAAAUUAGAUUUUCGUAGUUUGUAAAAUUGUUCAUAUACAUAUAUGGGUGAUAUAGGCCUACUGGGGAACCGAGCACCCAAAGAUAAUAUCGGUAACGCGCUAUUUGCAUACCUCAGUGAUAAUGUGGAAACUGCAAAAUACCCAAAAGUUGUUUAUAAAAUGCCCAAGCUAAUCUUUUUCAGCAGUGGCAUCAUUGGCAAAUGUUAUAAAAAUGCGAGUUUUGACAGCUCUCUCUCGAACCAAAGAGACUCGUAUCAAGUUAUCUAUGGCAUAGGGUAGGUGGGUUCGAGCUAAUAUAGCGCAUGCUUUGAGCUCUUGAAAAAUUUAUUUUAUCAUUUGCGAAAUGUCGUCGGGUAGAUAGCUGAUGUAGCACACGUUUUGAACUCUUGAACCAUAAUAAUUGUGGCAUAAAUUUUAUACACCAAUUAAAAUAAUAAAUUUAAAAUGAGCAAUGAUAUUUUGAUUUAUGUUUGUAUAAGAUUAUUAAAUUUAAGACUUCGCUCAUUCUCAACCCAAUUUGCAUAAUUUUGCUGUAAAUUAACAAUAUUAAACUAAAUAUUCAUUUUUUGGAAAAAUGUUAUUUUGAAAAUGUACUUAUUUUUAUAAUAUAACGCAACCGUCUUAAUACACGAUCUUCUAAAUUUCAUAUUACAGAAUUGAAAAUACCGUCGGCUUAUGUGCAGAUGGGAUAUGUUGCCUCUUCGAAAUUUUCAUAGAAAUGAAAACUGCACUGUCAAACUGCUGAAGUUACAGCUUAUAGCUAGACGUAACUCUUUAUAUAUCUAUUAUACUCGUAUCUUCUAUAUAGCAGACAUUUCAACUGCAUAACUAGCAUGAAAAUAAAAGCAGUAAAUUUAAACUGUCAACAUACAGACGUUCCAGUUAAAAAUUCUUAGAGCUAUAACGAGUUCACUAGGGCACAUUCGUAAUGCAAAUACAGUAGAAUCCGGUUAUAACGACUCCGCUUAUAGUGUCCGUCCGGUUAUUGCGACAAAAACUCGAUGGCUUGGUUGGUCCCCAUACAAACUUAUAUGAAAGAGCCUCCGCUUAGUACGUCUCCGCUUUUAGCGACUAACCGCUUAUACCGACGAAAUUUUUCAGAAUUCAACCGGAUAUAGCGACGAAAAAAAAAAUUCAGCAAAAUAAUGCCAACAAUUUUAAGCAUCAAAC